Long non-coding RNA from Acanthopagrus latus (yellowfin seabream), 390 nucleotides. RefSeq lists it as uncharacterized. The record is from RefSeq and is a predicted model, not a curated record. Lineage: Eukaryota; Metazoa; Chordata; Actinopteri; Spariformes; Sparidae. The transcript is spliced from 3 exons.
UCAUUCCAUUGGUUCUGAAAAGGUUGCAAACUCCGCCAGCAUCGUCAUUCGUCAUUGAUCCGCAUCGAUCAGCAGCAUCGACCAGAAGAGAGAAGACUAUGAACCAUGAAGAGAAAGUCAGAAGACAUCGCUUCUUACUUUAAGAAGAAAAUUAGCGCAGGAGGAGAGAGAGAGCCGACGGUUGAGCAGAGGCAUAGUGAUGAGGAGAUGGAGGAGGAAGAUGAGGGGGAGGAGCAGACAGAGCAGCAUGAGCAUGCUGGAGAGGGACAGUUAGCAGAGAGCACAGAGGCGAGGCAGGGGUCAGCAGCAGGUGUUCGAUCUGCUCCUGGACCAACAGAUAUCUCGCAGUCAAGAGCAGAACAGCCAAAACAGCCACAUCUUCAAAACUUC